AUUGAACGCUGGCGGCAGGCCUAACACAUGCAAGUCGAGCGGAUGAAGGGAGCUUGCUCCUGGAUUCAGCGGCGGACGGGUGAGUAAUGCCUAGGAAUCUGCCUGGUAGUGGGGGAUAACGUCCGGAAACGGGCGCUAAUACCGCAUACGUCCUGAGGGUGAAAGUGGGGGAUCUUCGGACCUCACGCUAUCAGAUGAGCCUAGGUCGGAUUAGCUAGUUGGUGGGGUAAAGGCCUACCAAGGCGACGAUCCGUAGCUGGUCUGAGAGGAUGAUCGGACACAUUGGAACUGAGACACGGUCCAGACUCCUACGGGAGGCAGCAGUGGGGAAUAUUGGACAAUGGGCGAAAGCCUGAUCCAGCCAUGCCGCGUGUGUGAAGAAGGUCUUCGGAUUGUAAAGCACUUUAAGUUGGGAGGAAGGGCAGUAAGUUAAAACCUUGCUGUUUUGACGUUACCAAAAGAAUAAGCACCGGCUAACUUCGUG
RNAcentral lists this ribosomal RNA (484 nucleotides) under uncultured bacterium. Its description in RNAcentral is "partial 16S ribosomal RNA". It matches the Rfam family "Bacterial small subunit ribosomal RNA", at positions 30 to 507 of the family's 1533-position model. The record is from RNAcentral.